GCUGUCACUAAGUUAGGGAAGGCAAAAUACUACGUGGCGACUUGGCGAAGAGGAGAGAGUUCCCACCAGGCUGACUCCAGAACCGCAGAAGGCUGAGAACCAGCAGCCCAGAGACGGGAGACCUAUAUCAAAGCUGCCUGGGGAACAACUACUGAAGAAGCCCUUAACGCCCCAGUGCUCUCCCCACAUGGUGGAGGGUGAAAGUUUUUGUUUUUUUUUCCUUCUGGGACUCUGCAUAGUCCCAGAGAAAAGGCCUAAGCACCUCAUCCCCAAAAACAACCUGAGGAGGCCGUUGGAAAGCUCCGAGUUGACAAGUCUCAUCCACGCACAUGCUCGGUGCUUCCAAUCGGUGAUCAAGACCACUGCUCUUCAUCCAGAGCAGGCAGCAGGGAUUCCCAGGUAUCCAAAGAAACCAAAACAGGCGGUGUAAUUUAGGACUGACUAAGUAAUGGCUCGGCCACUUUUAAGUGUGGAAGCAAAACUGACCCCACAGAUUUAGAAAACUGUAACACUGCUUAUUGGGAGAAACUAGUGUCACCCUGGCUAGUUCUGCUCCCCAAAUUCAAAGGUAAAUAAACGGUUGAGCAUGUCCGAUCA
Molecule: long non-coding RNA, 597 nt
Filed under: Homo sapiens (human)
Lineage: Eukaryota; Metazoa; Chordata; Mammalia; Primates; Hominidae
Description: non-protein coding lnc-ZNF324-2:1
Source: RNAcentral